UAGAGUUUGAUCCUGGCUCAGGAUGAACGCUGGCGGCGUGCUUAACACAUGCAAGUCGAACGAUGAUCCGGUGCUUGCACCGGGGAUUAGUGGCGAACGGGUGAGUAACACGUGAGUAACCUGCCCUUGACUCUGGGAUAAGCCUGGGAAACUGGGUCUAAUACCGGAUAUGACUCCUCAUCGCAUGGUGGGGGGUGGAAAGCUUUUGCGGUUUUGGAUGGACUCGCGGCCUAUCAGCUUGUUGGUGAGGUAAUGGCUCACCAAGGCGACGACGGGUAGCCGGCCUGAGAGGGUGACCGGCCACACUGGGACUGAGACACGGCCCAGACUCCUACGGGAGGCAGCAGUGGGGAAUAUUGCACAAUGGGCGGAAGCCUGAUGCAGCGACGCCGCGUGAGGGAUGACGGCCUUCGGGUUGUAAACCUCUUUCAGUAGGGAAGAAGCGAAAAUGACGGUACCUGCAGAAGAAGCGCCGGCUAACUACGUGCCAGCAGCCGCGGUAAUACGUAGGGCGCAAGCGUUAUCCGGAAUUAUUGGGCGUAAAGAGCUCGUAGGCGGUUUGUCGCGUCUGCCGUGAAAGUCCGGGGCUCAACUCCGGAUCUGCGGUGGGUACGGGCAGACUAGAGUGAUGUAGGGGAGACUGGAAUUCCUGGUGUAGCGGUGAAAUGCGCAGAUAUCAGGAGGAACACCGAUGGCGAAGGCAGGUCUCUGGGCAUUAACUGACGCUGAGGAGCGAAAGCAUGGGGAGCGAACAGGAUUAGAUACCCUGGUAGUCCAUGCCGUAAACGUUGGGCACUAGGUGUGGGGGACAUUCCACGUUUUCCGCGCCGUA
This 832-nucleotide ribosomal RNA is filed under the name uncultured bacterium. RNAcentral describes it as "bacterial SSU rRNA". It matches the Rfam family "Bacterial small subunit ribosomal RNA", at positions 1 to 850 of the family's 1533-position model. The record is from RNAcentral.